CGGGAAUUUUCCGCAAUGGGCGAAAGCCUGACGGAGCAACGCCGCGUGAGGGAAGAAGGUUUUCGGAUCGUAAACCUCUGUCUUUGAGGACGAUAAUGACGGUACUCAAGGAGGAAGCCACGGCUAACUACGUGCCAGCAGCCGCGGUAAUACGUAGGUGGCGAGCGUUGUCCGGAAUUACUGGGCGUAAAGGGCGUGUAGGCGGUUUUCUAAGUCAGACGUGAAAACUCCGGGCUUAACCCGGAACCUGCGUUUGAAACUGGGAGACUAGAGGACCGGAGAGGGUAGUGGAAUUCCCAGUGUAGCGGUGAAAUGCGUAGAUAUUGGGAGGAACACCAGUGGCGAAGGCGACUACCUGGACGGCACCUGACGCUGAGGCGCGAAAGCUAGGGGAGCAAAC
Molecule: ribosomal RNA, 400 nt
Filed under: uncultured bacterium
Lineage: Bacteria
Description: bacterial SSU rRNA
Rfam family: Bacterial small subunit ribosomal RNA
Source: RNAcentral